RNAcentral lists this ribosomal RNA (375 nucleotides) under uncultured organism. RNAcentral's name for it is "partial 16S ribosomal RNA". It matches the Rfam family "Bacterial small subunit ribosomal RNA", at positions 527 to 896 of the family's 1533-position model. The record is from RNAcentral.
GUAGGUGGCAAGCGUUGUCCGGGAAUUAUUGGGCGUAAAGCGCGCGCAGGUGGUCUUUAAGUCUGAUGUGAAAGACCCCCGGGCUCAACCGGGGAGGGUCAUUGGAAACUGGGGAACUUGAGUGCAGGAGAGGAAAGUGGAAUUCCACGUGUAGCGGUGAAAUGCGUAGAUAUGUGGAGGAACACCAGUGGCGAAGGCGACUUUCUGGCCUGUAACUGACACUGAGGCGCGAAAGCGUGGGGAGCAAACAGGAUUAGAUACCCUGGUAGUCCACGCCGUAAACGAUGAGUGCUAAGUGUUGGGGGGGUUUCCGCCCCUCAGUGCUGCAGCUAACGCAUUAAGCACUCCGCCUGGGGAGUACGGUCGCAAAGACUG